GCUAUUUUGGCAGAUUAGUGCAAUAAAUUUAGAAUUUAUGAAUGUAAUUUUUACAAAUAGUA
Molecule: transfer RNA, 62 nt
Filed under: Paradyschiria parvula
Lineage: Eukaryota; Metazoa; Arthropoda; Insecta; Diptera; Streblidae
Description: tRNA-Leu
Source: RNAcentral